This 254-nucleotide ribosomal RNA is filed under the name uncultured bacterium. Its description in RNAcentral is "partial 16S ribosomal RNA". It matches the Rfam family "Bacterial small subunit ribosomal RNA", at positions 524 to 776 of the family's 1533-position model. The record is from RNAcentral.
UACGGGGGGAGCAAGCGUUGUUCGGAUUUACUGGGCGUAAAGGGCGCGUAGGCGGUCAGCACAAGUCAGUUGUGAAAUCUCCGGGCUUAACUCGGAAAGGUCAACUGAUACUGUGCGACUAGAGUGCGGAAGGGGCAACUGGAAUUCUCGGUGUAGCGGUGAAAUGCGUAGAUAUCGAGAGGAACACCUGCGGCGAAGGCGGCGUCCUGGCUCGCAUCUGACGCUCAGACACGACAGCAUGGGGAGCGAACGGG